Molecule: non-coding RNA, 68 nt
Organism: Rattus norvegicus (Norway rat)
Lineage: Eukaryota; Metazoa; Chordata; Mammalia; Rodentia; Muridae
Source: Rfam
GGGGAUUUAGCUCAGUGGUAGAGCGCUUGCCUAGCAAGGCAAGGCCCUGGGUUCGGUCCCCAGCUCCG